This 253-nucleotide ribosomal RNA is filed under the name uncultured bacterium. RNAcentral's name for it is "partial 16S ribosomal RNA". It matches the Rfam family "Bacterial small subunit ribosomal RNA", at positions 524 to 776 of the family's 1533-position model. The record is from RNAcentral.
UACGUAGGGAGCAAGCGUUGUUCGGAUUUACUGGGCGUCAAGGGCGCGUAGGCGGCGCGGUAAGUCACUUGUGAAAUCUCUGAGCUUAACUCAGAACGGCCAAGUGAUACUGCAGUGCUAGAGUGCAGAAGGGGCAAUCGGAAUUCUUGGUGUAGCGGUGAAAUGCGUAGAUAUCGAGAGGAACACCAGUGGCGAAGGCGGCGACCUGGGCAGAUACUGACGCUGAGGUGCGAAAGCGUGGGGAGCAAACAGG